RNAcentral lists this ribosomal RNA (468 nucleotides) under uncultured bacterium. RNAcentral describes it as "partial 16S ribosomal RNA". It matches the Rfam family "Bacterial small subunit ribosomal RNA", at positions 28 to 507 of the family's 1533-position model. The record is from RNAcentral.
GACGAACGCUGGCGGCGUGCUUAACACAUGCAAGUCGAACGGAAAGGCCCUGCUUUUGUGGGGUGCUCGAGUGGCGAACGGGUGAGUAACACGUGAGUAACCUGCCCUUGAUUUUGGGAUAACUUCAGGAAACUGGGGCUAAUAUCGGAUAGGAUCUCCCGCUGCAUGGUGGGGGUGGGAAAGUUUCGGCGGUCGGGGAUGGAUUCGCGGCUUAUGAGUUUGUUGGUGGGGUAGGUGCUUACCGAGGCUUUGACGGAUAGGCGGCCUGGGAGGGGGACCGGCCACAAGAGGACUAAGGGACGGACCAGACUGCUACGGGAGGCAGAGGUGGGAAGUAUGGCACAGUGAGCCGGCGCCUGAUGCAGCGACGCCGGGUGCGGGAUGACGGCCUUCGGGUUAUGAACAGCUUUCGCCUGUGACGAAGCGUGAGUGACGGUACUGGAUGAAGAAGCACCGGCUAACUACGUG